GCUUAGGUGUAUUGUAUGCCUUUUUGAUAUAUUUUUCUGGAUGUAAUUCAUCAGAAAUCAAAGAACAUCUUUCUAGAAUUCUGUAUUCCCUGGAUAAUACUUUUAAUGUUAACAUAAUAUUCAAUGGUUAUAAUGGACAAAUGUAAAGUACUUCACUAACUAACUAUUUUUUUUUUUGUUGUUUUUGUUUUUGUUUUUUUGUUUUUCGAGCCGGGGUUUCUCUGUAUAGUCCUGGCUGUCCUGGAACUCACUUUGUAGACCACACUGUCCUAGAACUCAAAAAUCCACCUGCCUCUGCCUCCCAAGUGCUGGGAUUAAAGGCCUAACUCUUUUUUUUUUUUAAAUAUUUUUUUUUAUUACGUAUUUUCCUCAAUUACAUUUCCAAUGCCAUCCCAGAAGUCCCCCAUACCCUCCCCCCCACUCCCCUACCCAUCCAUUCCCACUUUUUGGCCCUGGCAUUUCCCUGUACUGGGGCAUAUAAAGUUUGCGUGUCCAAUGGGCCUCUCUUUCCAGUGAUGGCUGACUAGAAGGCCUAACUCUUAUAUAAACUAUAAAUAUAUUGACUAAACACUGUUGUAAUCAGUGAAUAAUACUUUUUAUAAAAUUGUAGUCUGGAUAUAACUAAUUUUUUUUUUCUGUUUUAGUCUUUGUAUUCUAGGAACCAAUCUGGGUAAUAUAUUAUAUUUUGUUGAUGUAUUUUUUCUUUCUUUUAUUUAUUUAUUUAUUUUUUUAUUAUUUGAAACAGAAUUUCUCUGUGUAUCCCUGAGUGCCCAGGAACUGUCUCUGAAGAGCAAAUUGGCCUUGAACCUACAGUGAUCUUCUUGCCUCUGCCUCCCAAGUGCUGGGAAUAAAGGUGUGUGGCACCGUGCCAGACAGCUAUCAUGUUUCUUAAGUCUUUUCCAACCUCUUCUUUUUUUCUACUUUGAUGUAGUUAUGCUAGCCAUCUUUUGGUUUUCUCGUGUAUGAUUGCAUAUAUGCUAAGCAUUUAAAAAUGAUGUCUGUGUAGCAUGCAAGCCUUGUUGGUGUUUGCAGAGGCCAGAGGAGGGCAUUGGCUUCACUGGAACUGGAGUUAAGACUAUUGUGAGCUCUCGUGUGGGUGCUGGGAAGUGUACUGGUCCCUUUCUCUUGACUGUUGAGCCAUCUCUCCAGCCCCACUGUUGGAUAUUUUAAAAUUCAGUGGAUCAGCUUCAUGCUCCCAACUAAAUAGUUUAGUCUUGGGUGAGUCAUCUCACUACUUACAUGUUUUUAUUGUCCCUUUUGUACUCUGUUGUUUUGAAAGGUGUGUGUGCUUUAACAUUCUUUUACUGUUUACCAUAGAGAUUAUGGCGUCCUUUAUCCUCUACAUGGGCACUGGAAUGUGCUAAUCUUUUAGUAUUGUAAACAGCACUGCAGUUUAUAUUCUUGUACACACACAUUUUGCCUUUUGUAAGAAGUUAGUUUUCUACAAAUAAAAUUGUGGACUGUUUAGGACAACAUUUAAUUGGAGCUGCCUUACAGGUUUAGAGGUUCAGUCCAUUAUGAUCAAGGCAAGAACAUGGCAGCAUCCAGGCAGGCAUGAUGAAGGCAGAGCUGAAAGUUCUACAUCUUCAUCUGAGGGCUGCUAGUGGAAUACUGGCUCCCAGGUCGCUAGGGCUAGUAAAAGCCCACGCCCACAGUGACACACCUACUCUGACAAGGCCAAACCUCCAAAUAGUGCCACUCUAGGCCAAGCAUAUGCAAACCAUGACAUGGAUUUAAAAAGUUUUCACAUUUAAAGCCCUAAGACAUGUUUGGGAGAAUACUUUUUUUCUUUGAAAUAUAUAAAUAUUUAUAAAGUAUAAAUAUUUAGUUUAAACUUUUUAAGGCAAACUCACACAAAGCCUUCAUUAAAACUAGUUGUACUGUAUGUAGUCUGUCUUCUUUUCCUGCGCUUGUGCUUAAAGUAAGAGAAACCUUACCACUGCCACCUUCGUAUGAGAGUUGCUAACAUCAAGCAGGAAAAAGGAAGUCCUGAAUAUUUUCAGAGAGAACUUGGGCUGUCAGUACAAAAGAAGAGCUUUGACUGGGCCAGUCCAAUCUUCUUGCUAGCACUAUCAGCUGCUGAAAUACAGUGUUGCAGCCAUUUGAAAGUUUUGAAGGACAAGACUUUUCAGACUCCCCACCUAUAGUAGAAAGUUGGGAAUCAGUGAGAUUGAUGCAGGCUAAAGACAUUUCUAGACAGAGAAAGCCUCUGAAAAUUCUGGAAGUUCCAGUCUAUUAAAAUAAAGCAGUAAAAAUAUAUCUAGGAAAAGCCCAAGGCAGCGUUGACUGACAGCUGUAUAGCAGGCCCCAGAACAAGCAGUUUAGAUCAGAGAUCCUCCUAAAAUAGAUAUCCAGGCAAUUAAGGUUAUUUUAAAGAGAUUUUAUAAUAGGUUGGCCCAAUUAUUUUUGUCAGACUUUUUACAUUAUGAGUUUGAUUUUGUUAAUAGAUACAGACUUCUGGGUUUCUGUCUUGUCAUUGAUGUGAUACUGAUUGCUUAGUUUUAAAUGAGUUUGGGUUUUUUUUUUUUUUUUUGUCUAUAUUAUGUAAACUAUGAAGUUUUUAAAAUAUAGUCCCCCAAUACCUUUAUCUAUUUUAUAAAGUCUGUUAUCUGAGAUUAAUAAGAGAAAAUAUUAAGUGGAGAACUUAAAUAAUCUAUGUGUUAAAAUAACUUUUAAAUUUUUAGAGGCUAUUUACACACCUUUAAUCCUGGUAUUUUGAAAGCGGAGGCAAAUGGAUCUCUGAGUUCAAGGCCAGCCUGGUCUAAGGACAGCCAGUGCUACACGUGAAACCUUGUCUCAGAAAAACAAAACAAAACAAAAAACAAAAACAAAAAAUCAAACCCAAGAGUAUAAAGGCCCCAGUACUCUUAUAUAGCAGAGGACUGCCUGGUCUGCCUCAAUGAGAGAAGACACACUUAACCCUGGAGAGACUUGAGGCCCCAGGAAGUGGGGAGGUCUGGUGGUGUGGGGGUCUGAGAAUAUCCUCUUGGAGACGGGAGCAGAAUGAAUUAGGAGGGGGAUAACUACCGGACUGUAAAAAAAGAUUAAAAACAAUUAAAAGG
This 3062-nucleotide long non-coding RNA is filed under the name Mus musculus (house mouse). Its description in RNAcentral is "long non-coding RNA chr12:57233835-57236897". Lineage: Eukaryota; Metazoa; Chordata; Mammalia; Rodentia; Muridae. The record is from RNAcentral.